Long non-coding RNA from Chenopodium quinoa (quinoa), 810 nucleotides. RefSeq lists it as uncharacterized. The record is from RefSeq and is a predicted model, not a curated record. Lineage: Eukaryota; Viridiplantae; Streptophyta; Magnoliopsida; Caryophyllales; Amaranthaceae. The transcript is spliced from 2 exons.
UUAUACAGAAUGAAAACAGUAGGACUAUAUCAUUUUUAAGUGCGUUGGAGCCCUUUUUAUUUUAAUAUAUUUAUUUAUACAAUUAUAUGUACAUAUAUAUAUAAGUAGACCCUUAUAUGUUAUAACUCCUCUCAUUCUUAUGCCACAAUAAAGAGAGAGAGAGAGAGAGUGAGAGAAAGAAAGAAGUGGUGUUUUGUGGGGUUAGUUGUGUUUCUGCAGCAGCUGAAGGAGGAAUCCAAAGGGAUCGCAUUGAUCCCAACUUACAAUUUAAUUUUUAAUUUUAUGGUUUCGUUUGGAUCAUGCAAUCUCUUUGGAUUUAUCCUUCCGUAGCUUAAUUAUUAUUUCAUUCAAUUCCUUCAUCAAAUUAAACCAAAACCGAACGAAGAAGUUCUCUAGAACUUGAACCAAUCUCGGGCUUCUCUACGUAAGGUAUGUACCUCCUAGCGCCCGGCUUAUGAAGAGAACAUGGCGAGGACUUGUCAACGACACCGACUGUUUUAGUGUGAAGUAAAAGGAGGAAGAUGAUACAGUGCAUGAUGUUAAGUGUCUAAGUGAUACAGAUAGAGAUAGUACAAGUGAAGCAAAAACAAAAUGUUGGCCAAGUCCCACAUUGACUAAAGAAAGAAGGUAUUAGCUGGUGAAGUUGUUUAUAAGCAGAAACUUGUUUAAUUAUUAAAGUAUGAUCCUUCAGGCAGUUAAUGGAAUAUGAUGAGUGGUCAUUUUUCGCAUAUGUUAUUGCGAAUUGGGUGUUCGCCCCAAGCCUAAUAUACGACAAUAUGGGCACCCCAAUUUUAUACCAUCUGAUCCCUA